UAAUCUACCUGGGAGCGGGGGAUAACCUGGGGAAACUCGGGCUAAUACCGCAUACGUUGGUUGGUUUACGGAUUGACCAAGAAAGCUGGCCUCUGCUUGCAAGCUAGCGCUCCUGGAGGAGCCCGCGGCUAAUUAGCUAGUUGGUGAGGUAAAGGCUCACCAAGGCAUCGAUCAGUAGCCGGCCUGAGAGGGUGAUCGGCCACACUGGGACUGAGACACGGCCCAG
RNAcentral lists this ribosomal RNA (226 nucleotides) under uncultured bacterium. Its description in RNAcentral is "partial 16S ribosomal RNA". It matches the Rfam family "Bacterial small subunit ribosomal RNA", at positions 122 to 334 of the family's 1533-position model. The record is from RNAcentral.